GCUGGAGGUGGUACAGGAAUUGGUACUGGCACUGGUACUGGCACUGGUACUGGCUCAGGUUCGGGUUCAGGUUCGGGUUC
RNAcentral lists this transfer RNA (80 nucleotides) under Dulcicalothrix desertica PCC 7102. RNAcentral describes it as "Calothrix desertica PCC 7102 tRNA-Thr". The record is from RNAcentral. Lineage: Bacteria; Bacillati; Cyanobacteriota; Cyanophyceae; Nostocales; Calotrichaceae.